RNA transcript from Mus pahari (shrew mouse), 2489 nucleotides. It is a transcript of the gene named amiloride-sensitive amine oxidase [copper-containing]-like, with no coding region annotated. The record is from RefSeq and is a predicted model, not a curated record. The transcript is spliced from 4 exons. Lineage: Eukaryota; Metazoa; Chordata; Mammalia; Rodentia; Muridae.
GGAUGCACACAAGGACCUGGACAGCACUGUGAACUGUGAGUAAGGACCCAGAGACUCCAACUCUGGCUUCAGCUGCAUAGGGGAGGAAGCACGGUCAGGGGGUAAGACAGGGCUUAGAGACAAGGUGCUCUGGGGUGCUGGCUUGAAGACAGAUAGACCUAAGUUCUCUCCUCUCUUCUGCUGAGUUCCAGGGCCAUGGGGUUGGCACAAAGGAGCUUGGCACUGGGCUGCAUGGCCAUCAUGUUGGUUCUACAAGUGACCAUGGCAGAGUACCCCAGCUGGAUGUUGAAUGGCAAGGCCCAGGUGUUCGCAGACCUGAGCGCCCAGGAGAUGGAGGCUGUGCACAGCUUCCUGAUGAGCAGGACAGAGCUGGAGCUGCAGCCCUCAGGCACACAGGCUUUGGACAAGAAUUCUGUGUUCCUCAUUGAGACUCUGCUGCCCAACAAGAAGGAGGUCUUAGAGUUUCUGAAUAAAGGCACCAGACCUCCUGUGCGGGAAGCCCGUGUCAUCAUUUUCUUUAGUGCCCAGGAGCACCCCAAUGUCACCGAGUUUGCUGUAGGGCCCCUGCCACAGCCCAUCUACAUGAGAGAACUCUUCCCCAGGCCAGAGAAACAUCGAUCCUGGGCAUCCAGACCCAUGUCCAAAGCAGAACAAAGUCUUCUCUACCACAAAAUCAAGGAGGCCACCACACCCUUACAGGGGUUUUUCCUUGACACUACUGGCUUCUCACUAGAGGACUGCGAUGGCCAAUGUCUGACCUUCACCCAUGUGGCCCCCCACAGUGUGGAGUCUAGACAUCGGGCCACCUGGUUCCUCUUGCAGCGCAUUGUAAAAGAUCGCCUGCUGCAACCCACGGGACUGGAGAUCCUUGUAGAUCAUGGGAGCACAGAUGUCCGGGACUGGAGAGUAGAGCAGGUCUGGUAUAAUGGGAAGCUCUACAACAGCCCAGAGGAACUGGCUCAGAAAUACACAGACGGAGAAGUGGACACGGUGGUCCUCAAGGACCUGCGUCCCAAGAACACGGAACCGCCACAAAUCUUUAACAAGCCUAGUGGGAAAUUCCCAGCGUCCCCCAGAAAAUCUGGCCGCCAUGUGGAACAAGCCAAUGGUUCCAGAUACCACCUAGAGGGUAACACUGUGAUCUACAAAGACUGGAGUUUCUCCUUCCAGUUUCGACCCUCUUCUGGGCUGCAGAUAUUGAAUGUGCACUUCGGGAAUGAGUAUAUAGCUUAUGAGAUCAGUGUGCAGGGCGCUAUGGCUGUACAUAGAGAAAAAACACCUGCAGGAGAACUGACCAAAACCAUGGAUCUAGGCUGGAGCCUGGGCAGUGUAACUCAUGAGUUAGCCCCUGGCAUCAACUGUCCAGAGACAGCCACCUUCCUAGACGUCAUCCACUACUAUGGCACUGAUGGGCCUGUCCAUUAUCCGCGAGCCCUCUGCAUCUUUGAGAUACCCACAGGGGUGCCUGUUAGGCCCACCUUUAACAACGACUCUGCAGGCAAAAUCAACUUCUUUUCAGAUGUGAUGGGACACAAACUUGUGCUACGGGCAACCUCAGCUCUCUACAAUUUUGAUUACAUCUGGGACUUCAUCUUCUAUACUACGGGCACAAUCUCAGCCAAGAUGCAUGCCACAGGUUAUGUCCACACCACUGUCUAUACCCGUGAAGGGUUGAGAGAAACCCACCUGCUGACUCACCAGCUUGGCCACAGCCACACCCACCUUGUGCAUUACCGCAUUGACCUGGAUGUGGCAGGCACCAACAACAGCUUCCACACACUGCAGGCCAAGCAGAAAAACACCACCAACUCCAGCAGCCCAAGACGCCUAGUACAGGACAUGAUGGAGAAGACACAGUAUUCCCAGGAACGCCAGGCUACCUUCUCCUUCGGACAGACUCUGCCUUCAUUCCUGCUCUUUAGCAGCCCCAAAAAGGACAUCUGGGGAUACCGGCGAAGCUACCGCUUAAAGAUCUACUCCACAUCUGAGCAGAGGCUGACCCCCGAAACCCAAGAGGACGUGGCUUUCAGCUGGGCCCGGUGAGGAGUACGCCCUGGCAGUGAGCAGACACUCAGACUCUGAGCAGUACAGCACCAGCAUCUACAACCAGAAUCACCCCUGGGAUCCCCCUGUGGUCUUUGAGAAUUUCCUUCAGGACAAUGAGAAUAUUGAAGACCAGGAUUUGGUGGCCUGGGUGACAGUAGGCUUCUCUCAUGGGCCCCACUCUGAAGUUGCUCCAUAUAUGGCCUCGUCUAGGAACCUCGUAGGCUUUUUGCUCCUGCCUUUCAACUUCUUCUAUAUCACUGAAAAACACCCAGGUACAGGUGCCACAGAUGUAUCAGACACUGGAUCCCUGGGGGCAGGGUCUGCCUGAUGCCUCCACUAUUCAACUUCAACGGGACCUACAACCCUGUGUCAAGAGUCCAGCCCCAGCUCUUACUCAACAGCCCCAUACCCCACAAGGACAUUCAAUAAAUACUGACAUUCUU